GCCAGACUCCUACGGGAGGCAGCAGUGAGGAAUAUUGGUCAAUGGGCUUACGCCUGAACCAGCCAAGUCGCGUGAGGGAAGACUGCCCUAUGGGUUGUAAACCUCUUUUGUCAGGGAGCAAUUGGCGCUACGUGUAGCGUUAUCGAGAGUACCUGAAGAAAAAGCAUCGGCUAACUCCGUGCCAGCAGCCGCGGUAAUACGGAGGAUCCGAGCGUUAUCCGGAUUUAUUGGGUUUAAAGGGAGCGUAGAUGGGUUGUUAAGUCAGUUGUGAAAGUUUGCGGCUCAACCGUAAAAUUGCAAUUGAUACUGGCAGUCUUGAGUACAGUUGAGGUAGGCGGAAUUCGUGGUGUAGCGGUGAAAUGCGUAGAUAUCAGGAGGAACACCGGCGGCGAAGGCGGCCUGCUGGACCGUGACUGACGUUGAGGCUCGAGAGCGUGGGGAGCAACCAGGAUUAGAUACCCGAGUACA
This 468-nucleotide ribosomal RNA is filed under the name uncultured bacterium. RNAcentral's name for it is "bacterial SSU rRNA". It matches the Rfam family "Bacterial small subunit ribosomal RNA", at positions 330 to 797 of the family's 1533-position model. The record is from RNAcentral.